Long non-coding RNA from Molossus molossus (Pallas's mastiff bat), 257 nucleotides. RefSeq lists it as uncharacterized. The record is from RefSeq and is a predicted model, not a curated record. NCBI's taxonomy places the organism in Eukaryota, Metazoa, Chordata, Mammalia, Chiroptera, Molossidae. The transcript has 3 exons.
GCUUACACAUGAGAGGAAAGACAGAUGAGCAAAGAUAUGAGUUCAGUCCGAUAUGAUGUGAUGCCGAAAUGGAGACAAAUCACCAACGGGCAAAAACUAGUCGAGUAAAUGCCUGCAUUCACAUGUGCAGAUGGCUGGGGCGUGGCUUAUCGCACGUGGAACAUCGGCCAGCAAGCGUGAGAAUUGCUGCGGAGCCCUGGCCGGUUUGGCUCAGCGAGUAGAGCACUGGCCCUUGGUCAGAAGGGCUGUUGGUUCAA